This 253-nucleotide ribosomal RNA is filed under the name uncultured bacterium. Its description in RNAcentral is "partial 16S ribosomal RNA". It matches the Rfam family "Bacterial small subunit ribosomal RNA", at positions 524 to 776 of the family's 1533-position model. The record is from RNAcentral.
GACAGAGGGUGCAAACGUUGUUCGGAAUUACUGGGCGUAAAGCGCGUGUAGGCUGUUUCGCAAGUCGGGUGUGAAAGCCCUGGGCUCAACCUAGGAAGUGCACUCGAAACUGCGAGACUUGAGUCCUGGAGAGGAAGGCGGAAUUCUCGGUGUAGAGGUGAAAUUCGUAGAUAUCGAGAGGAACACCGGUGGCGAAGGCGGCCUUCUGGACAGUGACUGACGCUGAGACGCGAAAGCGUGGGGAGCAAACAGG